GAUGAAGAACGUAGUGAAAUGCGAUAAGUAGUGUGAAUUGCAGAAUUCAGUGAAUCAUCGAAUCUUUGAACGCACAUUGCGCCCCUUGGUAUCCCGAGGGGCAUGCCUGUUCGAGCGUCAUUUCACCACUCAAGCCUGGCUUGGUGUUGGGCGACGUCCCCUUUGGGGACGCGCCUCUAAACGCUCGGCGGCGUGGCACCGGCUUUAAGCGUAGCAGAAUCUUUCGCUUUGGAAGUCGGGGCCCCGUCUGCCGGAAGACCUACUCGCAAGGUUGACCUCGGAUCAGGCAGGGAUACCCGCUGAACUUAAGCAUAUCAAUAAGCGGAGGA
This 329-nucleotide unclassified non-coding RNA is filed under the name soil metagenome. Its description in RNAcentral is "partial contains 5.8S ribosomal RNA, internal transcribed spacer 2, and large subunit ribosomal RNA". The stretch from base 1 to 120 matches the Rfam family "5.8S ribosomal RNA", at positions 35 to 154 of the family's 154-position model. The record is from RNAcentral.